Molecule: ribosomal RNA, 466 nt
Filed under: uncultured bacterium
Lineage: Bacteria
Description: bacterial SSU rRNA
Rfam family: Bacterial small subunit ribosomal RNA
Source: RNAcentral
GAUGAACGCUGGCGGCGUGCCUAACACAUGCAAGUCGAGCGAUUCUCUUCGGAGAAGAGCGGCGGACGGGUGAGUAACGCGUGGGUAACCUGCCCUGUACACACGGAUAACAUACCGAAAGGUAUGCUAAUACGAGAUAAUAUACUUUUAUCGCAUGGUAGAAGUAUCAAAGCUCCGGCGGUACAGGAUGGACCCGCGUCUGAUUAGCUAGUUGGUAAGGUAACGGCUUACCAAGGCGACGAUCAGUAGCCGACCUGAGAGGGUGAUCGGCCACAUUGGAACUGAGACACGGUCCAAACUCCUACGGAGGCAGCAGUGGGGAAAAUUGCACAAUGGGCGAAAGCCUGAUGCAGCAACGCCGCGUGAGCGAUGAAGGCCUUCGGGUCGUAAAGCUCUGUCCUCAAGGAAGAUAAUGACGGUACUUGAGGAGGAAGCCCGGCUAACUACGUGCCAGCAGCCGCGGUAA